This is a long non-coding RNA of Camelus dromedarius (Arabian camel), 423 nucleotides long. RefSeq lists it as uncharacterized. Lineage: Eukaryota; Metazoa; Chordata; Mammalia; Artiodactyla; Camelidae. The record is from RefSeq and is a predicted model, not a curated record. The transcript has 4 exons.
UGGCAGAGUCUAAUGGUCUUGAUUAGUAAGGAAAGUUGCUGUAUCACUGAAAGAAAAGAAAAACGAUGCGAUGCAAUGCAACACGAAGGUUCAGCUAUGGUAUCAAGUGACUUUACAAAGGCUAUGGGCAAUCAUUGGGAUAAUAUGAGCUAUUAUCAGGGAAAGUCUGAUGAAGAGAAAAAGAUGCCCCUGGAACAAAUAUUGGCACCCUUCCUGAAGUGUCAUGGAUUGGGACCCUAAAUAUUAUCUGCUGGGAGAGGAGACUAUUCAGUGACCUUUCAGGUGAGAAAAUUGGGGUGCCAGAUGACCAAGCCCGAUAGGCUGCAGCGUUGCCUGGGAUACCAACUGCGCAGGUGUUAUUCCAUUUUAGUCACUGAAGCAGUAGGGACCCAACGACUGGAGAGUGGCAGGGCUAUAUUCUAG